RNAcentral lists this ribosomal RNA (793 nucleotides) under Methanosaeta sp. enrichment culture clone L35A_29. RNAcentral's name for it is "bacterial SSU rRNA". It matches the Rfam family "Archaeal small subunit ribosomal RNA", at positions 85 to 879 of the family's 1478-position model. Lineage: Archaea; Methanobacteriati; Methanobacteriota; Methanomicrobia; Methanotrichales; Methanotrichaceae. The record is from RNAcentral.
ACUGCUCAGUAACACGUGGACAACCUACCCUUAGGACGGGGAUAAACCCGGGAAACUGGGUAUAAUACCCGAUAGGUCUCGAUUGCUGGAAUGCAUCGAGAUUUAAAGCUCCGGCGCCUAAGGAUGGGUCUGCGGCCUAUCAGGUAGUAGUGGGUGUAGCGUACCUACUAGCCUACGACGGGUACGGGUUGUGAGAGCAAGAGCCCGGAGAUGGAUUCUGAGACACGAAUCCAGGCCCUACGGGGUGCAGCAGGCGCGAAAACUUUACAAUGCUGGCAACAGCGAUAAGGGAACCUCGAGUGCCAGGUUACAAAUCUGGCUGUCGAGAUGCCUAAAAAGCAUUUCAUAGCAAGGGCCGGGCAAGACCGGUGCCAGCCGCCGCGGUAACACCGGCGGCUCGAGUGGUAACCGUUAUUAUUGGGUCUAAAGGGUCUGUAGCCGGCCGGAUAAGUCUCUUGAGAAAUCUGGCAGCUUAACUGUCAGGCUUUCAGGAGAUACUGUCUGGCUCGAGGCCGGGAGAGGUGAGAGGUACUUCAGGGGUAGGGGUGAAAUCUUGUAAUCCUUGAAGGACCACCAGUGGCGAAGGCGUCUCACCAGAACGGACCUGACGGCAAGGGACGAAAGCUAGGGGCACGAACCGGAUUAGAUACCCGGGUAGUCCUAGCCGUAAACGAUACUCGCUAGGUGUCGGCCACGGUGCGACCGUUGUCGGUGCCGUAGGGAAGCCGUGAAGCGAGCCACCUGGGAAGUACGGCCGCAAGGCUGAAACUUAAAGGAAUUGGCGGGGGAGCAC